Molecule: ribosomal RNA, 497 nt
Filed under: uncultured bacterium
Lineage: Bacteria
Description: partial 16S ribosomal RNA
Rfam family: Bacterial small subunit ribosomal RNA
Source: RNAcentral
GAUGAACGCUGGCGGCGUGCCUAAUACAUGCAAGUCGAGCGAACGGACGAGAAGCCUGCUUCUCUGAUGUUAGCGGCGGACGGGUGAGUAACACGUGGAUAACCUACCUAUAAGACUGGGAUAACUUCGGGAAACCGGAGCUAAUACCGGAUAAUAUUUUGAACCGCAUGGUUCAAAAGUGAAAGACGGUCUUGCUGUCACUUAUAGAUGGAUCCGCGCUGCAUUAGCUAGUUGGUAAGGUAACGGCUUACCAAGGCAACGAUGCAUAGCCGACCUGAGAGGGUGAUCGGCCACACUGGAACUGAGACACGGUCCAGACUCCUACGGGAGGCAGCAGUAGGGAAUCUUCCGCAAUGGGCGAAAGCCUGACGGAGCAACGCCGCGUGAGUGAUGAAGGUCCUCGGAUCGUAAAACUCUGUUAUUAGGGAAGAACAUAUGUGUAAGUAACUGUGCACAUCUUGACGGUACCUAAUCAGAAAGCCACGGCUAACUACGUG